GUACCGUAAAUCGGUGUAAAGUUGGGAAGUACCAAAAGAGUGAAGGAUAUAUAUUGGAAACGCCAGCGCAAUGGCGCACCGAACUCAAAUUAGAAUAUGCAAAGACGAUUCAUCAAGGCAACGGCCAAAUGUAGUUGUAACAAGGCAACAGCGGAGAAUAAACUCGAAGGAGGGAGGAAGUCCGCUGGAUUAUGACGUACCUAUUUUAUCUAAGGAGCCAAUUGUUGCCAUUACACCAGUCGCCGUUGAUACGCCGGUCGUCACCGAAGUGGAAACGGAAGGACCGACAUUAAUACGGAAGAGGAAGCGAAAAAUUUCAGACAGUCGUUUGGAGACUGUUGUUGAACCCAGAAGAUCAAAGCGCCCACGUAAGACAAACCGUUCAAGUGACUACUUGUAUGAAUAAUCAUAUUUCGGAUGUGAAUUUAGAAAUAAGUUGAUGGAAUUUGAAACAACUGGAUUUAUUAUUGUAGUGUACAUAUCUGAUAAAUUGAAUCAGUUCGGAAUUUUAUAUUAUAUUCUAUUAAAAGGGGAAGAAUUAUAAUACCUGUGAACUAAAUGUACUUUGAGACUGUCAAAUGACAGUUCUGAUUCCGCGUUCCUUACGCAUUCGAUUGAGCCGAAUGGCUUUAACCGAUAUCUCAAUAAACGAGACGUUUAGUCUAAUCUGAAACUUAAGACAGAA
Molecule: long non-coding RNA, 685 nt
Organism: Armigeres subalbatus
Lineage: Eukaryota; Metazoa; Arthropoda; Insecta; Diptera; Culicidae
Exons: 2
Source: RefSeq, a predicted model, not a curated record